Molecule: transfer RNA, 67 nt
Filed under: Azemiops feae
Lineage: Eukaryota; Metazoa; Chordata; Lepidosauria; Squamata; Viperidae
Description: tRNA-Arg
Source: RNAcentral
UGUUGGAGUAGUCUAAUCAGACAUUUGAUUUCGACUCAAAAGAACUUAUUAUAUUAAGCCCCAACAA